GCUCAGUAACACGUGGAGAACGUGCCCUUAAGUGGGGGAUAAUCUCGGGAAAUUGAGGAUAAUACCCCAUAGAUCAUGGGAUCUGGAAUGACCCAUGGUUCAAAGUUCCGGCGCUUAAGGAUCGCUCUGCGGCCUAUCAGGUAGUAGUGGGUGUAAAGUACCCCCUAGCCUACGACGGGUAUGGGCCUUGAGAGAGGGAGCCCAGAGUUGGAUUCUGAGACACGAAUCCAGGCCCUACGGGGCGCAGCAGUCGCGAAAACUUCACACUGGGGGGAACCCCGAUGAGGGAAAUCCUAGUGCUAGGACAUUUGUUCUAGCUUUUCUCAAGCGUAGAUAACUUGAGGAAUAAGGGCUGGGUAAGACGGGUGCCAGCCGCCGCGGUAAUACCUGCAGCCCAAGUGGUGGUCGAUUUUAUUGAGUCUAAAACGUUCGUAGCCGGUUCAUUAAAUCCUUGGGUAAAUCGGAUGGCUUAACUAUCCGAAUUCCGGGGAGACUGGUGAACUUGGGACCGGGAGAGGCAAGAGGUACUUUUGGGGUAGGGGUAAAAUCCUGUAAUCCUAAAAGGACCACCGGUGGCGAAGGCGUCUUGCUAGAACGGAUCCGACGGUGAGGGACGAAGCCCUGGGUCGCAAACGGGAUUAGAUACCCCGGUAGUCCAGGGUGUAAACGCUGCAGACUUGGCGUUGGGGACCCUUCGGGGGUGUUCAGUGCCGGAGAGAAGUUGUUAAGUCUGCUACUUGGGGAGUACGUCCGCAAGGAUGAAACUUAAAGGAAUUGGCGGGGGAGCAC
Molecule: ribosomal RNA, 789 nt
Filed under: uncultured archaeon
Lineage: Archaea
Description: bacterial SSU rRNA
Rfam family: Archaeal small subunit ribosomal RNA
Source: RNAcentral